This 85-nucleotide transfer RNA is filed under the name Candidatus Methanoliparum thermophilum. RNAcentral describes it as "tRNA-Ser". It matches the Rfam family "tRNA". From Rfam's summary of the family: Transfer RNA (tRNA) molecules are approximately 80 nucleotides in length. Their secondary structure includes four short double-helical elements and three loops (D, anti-codon, and T loops). Lineage: Archaea; Methanobacteriati; Methanobacteriota; Candidatus Methanoliparia; Candidatus Methanoliparales; Candidatus Methanoliparaceae. RNAcentral also lists the same sequence under 1 other name. The record is from RNAcentral.
GUCGGGAUAGCCUAGCCCGGUAAGGCGCAGGAUUGCUAAUCCUGUGUUCGAUACGAACUCGGGGGUUCGAAUCCCCCUCCCGACG